GCGAGUCGAGAGGGUUCGGCCCUCGGCAGACUGCUCAGUAACACGUGGAGAACUUGCCCUGCGCUGGAGGAUACCCUCGGGAAACUGAGUCUAAUACUCCAUAGCCCCGCCGUCCUGGAACGGUGGUGGGGUGAAAGCUCCGGCGGCGCAGGAUAGCUCUGCGGCCUAUCAGGUCGUAGCGAGGGUAACGUCCUCGCUAGCCUUCGACGGGUAUGGGUGUUGGGAGACAUCGCCCAGAGAUGGAUUCUGAGACACGAAUCCAGGUCCUACGGGACGCAGCAGGCGCGAAAACUGCACAAUGUGGGAAACCACGAUGCGGGAAACCCAAGUGCCAGCACUAUGUGUUGGCUGUCCUCGACUGUUCGUAAGUCGGGAAGAAAGAGCUGGGUAAGACGGGUGCCAGCCGCCGCGGUAAUACCCGCAGCUCAAGUGGUGGUCAUUAUUAUUGGGCCUAAAGCGUCCGUAGCUGGCCUGUUAGAUGCCUGGGUAAAUCGAUGCGCUCAACGUAUCGAAUUCCGGGUAGACCGGCAGGCUCGAGACCGGGAGAGGUGUAGGCUACUCGCGGGGUAGGGGUAAAAUCCUGUAAUCCUGCGGGGAGGACCAGUGG
Molecule: ribosomal RNA, 607 nt
Filed under: uncultured archaeon
Lineage: Archaea
Description: bacterial SSU rRNA
Rfam family: Archaeal small subunit ribosomal RNA
Source: RNAcentral